GUCGAGCGCACUCUUCGGAGUGAGCGGCGGACGGGUUAGUAACGCGUGGGAACGUACCCAGAUCUAAGGAAUAGCCACUGGAAACGGUGAGUAAUACCUUAUACGCCCUUCGGGGGAAAGAUUUAUCGGAUUUGGAUCGGCCCGCGUUAGAUUAGAUAGUUGGUGGGGUAACGGCCUACCAAGUCUACGAUCUAUAGCUGGUUUUAGAGGAUGAUCAGCAACACUGGGACUGAGACACGGCCCAGACUCCUACGGGAGGCAGCAGUGGGGAAUCUUGGACAAUGGGCGCAAGCCUGAUCCAGCCAUGCCGCGUGAGUGAUGAAGGCCUUAGGGUCGUAAAGCUCUUUCGCCAGGGAUGAUAAUGACAGUACCUGGUAAAGAAACCCCGGCUAACUCCGUGCCAGCAGCCGCGGUAAUACGGAGGGGGUUAGCGUUGUUCGGAAUUACUGGGCGUAAAGCGCGCGUAGGCGGGUUGUUAAGUUAGAGGUGAAAUCCCGGGGCUCAACCCCGGAACUGCCUUUAAUACUGGCAACCUAGAGUUCGAGAGAGGUGAGUGGAAUUCCGAGUGUAGAGGUGAAAUUCGUAGAUAUUCGGAGGAACACCAGUGGCGAAGGCGGCUCACUGGCUCGAUACUGACGCUGAGGUGCGAAAGUGUGGGGAGCAAACAGGAUUAGAUACCCUGGUAGUCCACACCGUAAACGAUGAAUGCCAGUCGUCGGGUAGCAUGCUAUUCGGUGACACACCUAACGGAUUAAGCAUUCCGCCUGGGGAGUACGGUCGCAAGAU
RNAcentral lists this ribosomal RNA (786 nucleotides) under Rhodobacteraceae bacterium CUA-847. RNAcentral's name for it is "bacterial SSU rRNA". It matches the Rfam family "Bacterial small subunit ribosomal RNA", at positions 61 to 894 of the family's 1533-position model. The record is from RNAcentral. Lineage: Bacteria; Pseudomonadati; Pseudomonadota; Alphaproteobacteria; Rhodobacterales; Paracoccaceae.